Molecule: long non-coding RNA, 3399 nt
Filed under: Ananas comosus (pineapple)
Lineage: Eukaryota; Viridiplantae; Streptophyta; Magnoliopsida; Poales; Bromeliaceae
Description: long non-coding RNA (ACOM_LNC001746)
Source: RNAcentral
UGGCUAUUAUAUAAAUAAAUUUUUAAUUAAAAAGUUAAAAUUGGAGGACUUACUCUAAAUUGCAAAUAUAUGAUAUUAUCCUUAUAUAGUCAACAUUGAUUGGAGAAAGAAGAAAUUAUUAUAUGCACCUAGUGUAUAUUAACACACCAUACACCACAACUUAUAUUAAAGGAUUUAAAUCUCUAUUAAAUGUUUUAAGUAUGUGGUGUAUGUUCUCAUAUACAUCCAGUAUAGAGAAUGCUUAAUAGGGCGCAUUCACAAUUCCAAGAAAAGGAGGAGAAAUCUUUACUUACACCUAAUGUAUACUUAUAUUUCAUACACCAUAAAAGCAUAUUAGAUGAUUGAUAGAAUAUUUGAUAAUUAGUAUUAAAGAUUUUUGUGAUGUCAUGGAACUGCUAGAUUAUAUACCUUAUAAAUUUUAAAAUAUUAACAAUAAAAAGAGGCUUGGUGUAUAUGAUAUUUUAAUAGACCGGGUGCAUGCAAUAUUGUUGAAGUAGAGGAGGGAGGAAAAAGAACACAUGUCCCUCCGAAGGCUUCUGAUGUGACCCAACUGUCAAAAUAAUAUAUCUAUAGAUGAGAUGGAAGCAAAAGUCUUUUUCACUUCCAAAAGUAUUCAGCUCAACUCCAUUAAAUACUAAACAGAAUAGCCACAAUGUUCUUUAGACAAGAAGCCCCUAAACAAGUUGUUCCUGAGUAACUUCGGUUCUGCUUGAACUCAACAACCUACGUGUCUAUUGCUCUCAUUGCAGCAAUGCAUCAAUUUAUUUCGAACUGAUUAUGAUUUGCACAACCACUAAUCAGAGCUUUCACUUAGGAAAAGAAAUUUUAAUAGCAAGGUUAGCUCCCUUAAUCCACUUAAAAGGUUUCAAAAGUAAAGACAGUGGAAACAUCCUCAUUAAUGAUGCAGCAUUGGAGAAAGAACCAUCAGCUUACAUCAAAUUAUUUGAGGUCUGUACCAGUAUUAAACUAUGUAUGCCAAGUAAAUGCAUCAAUUUGCAGCGUACACUUUGCUGUGCUGCUAGGACAUGUCUACCUAAGAUAUAGGCCCGGUUUGGCAACUAGAAUGCAAUUUGAGAGGAUAAGAGGAAAGAAUGACGCUGAAUGCGAGGAUUAAGCAACUCAUGGGCAGAUGACAACAAAUAGGGGGUGGUUUCAAUAGGACACAACAGGAUUUCUCGAAUACAAUCACGACCUCUCAGUUUCAGAUUCAAUAAUCCCAUCCUAAGAGGAUUGUUUUACCUGCUCCCCAGACAAUGCUAUCUUAUAUUAGCCUAUCGAAUCCAAUAGUCAAACAGGUUCUUAAGUUAACAAUUUAGCUUCUAUCACACCAUGACAUCCCUCAAUUCAGAAUUCUCAGGUUCAAUAUAAUUCUGACAUCUAUCACACCAUUCUAUUCCACAAAUUUAGCUUGCAGGAUCUUGUAUAUAAGCACAGAUAUGCGAAACCCAAAAAGAAAAUCAAGAGGAAUAUAGUGAAAAUUUUACAUCACAUAAUAGGAGUAAAGCCGCGUGUUAAAUUUGUAUAUAUUAUAUAUAUAUAUAUAUAUAUUAUAUAUAUAUAUAUAUAGAGUCCGGCCUACUAUACUCUUAUCACUCCGUUUGGAAUGGGUACAAGAGGGGGCGAUAAGCGGGGUUAUCCCCUCUUGUACCAAACACAAUUUGGGGAGGGGUGGAACACCUUGUUCGCCCAACCUGGUACAAGACCCCAACCUGGUACAAGACCUUGUACCAGGUUGGGGUGGAACAAGUGUACCCCAAGGGGGAACAAAGGUGGAACACUUGUUCCACCCUCCCCGAGUAGAGAGAGAGAAGAGAGAGAGAGAGGAGAGAGAAGAUUUUCAUUUUAAUUUAAUUUAAUUUUAAUUUCUAAAAUUUAUAAUAUUAGUUUUUUAAAUUUAAAUUUAUAUUUUAAUUAUAAAUUUUAAUGUUUAAAUUAUAAAUUUGAUAUUUGUAAUUUUUAAUUUUAAAUUUAAUUUUUUAGAUUUAAAAUUUAAAAUUUUAUUUUUAUCUCUUUCAAUUUAAAUUUGAUCUUAAAUUUAAAAUUUGAUAUUUAAAAUUUAAAUUUUGAAAAUAUAAGUUUUAAUUUUAAUUUCAUAUUUUAAAAUUUAAAAGUUAAAAUUUUUAAUUUAAAAUUAUUAGUUUAAAAUGUUAAAUUCAAUUAUAGAGGUAAAAUUAUUAUUUUCUAUCUAUAACUACCAACUAUUCCACCUUAUACUCAGAUUUUCAUCCAAACACAAUUUUUCUAGUUCCAGCUUAUACUCGUAUUUUCAUCCAAACAAAAAAAAUACUCUUGUUCCUACGAAAAUCCAUUCUUGUACCUAUCCCCGAUAUAACUAGUUCUUGCUUAUACCCGAACCAAACGAAGCCUAUGAGUACAAUCACCCUCGUACUCAUAAGUUGUUUUCGAUGAUAGAGUUUUCGAAUCGACAAUCCAUACCGUCAAACAUUAUCUAGAGCAUUUAAAUUUAAAACUUCUAGAAAUCAAAUUUUAUAAUUUUUCAACAUCAUUUACCUUACGAUCAAAAUAUCACAAUAUUGACAAUUUUUAACAGCCAGUAUGGAAUACUUGCUAGUUUAACGGUGUAAAAAAAUCGGAAUCGGUUGAAUUUUUAUAAAAAAUUAUAUUCACUACCUAGAUAAAGAUCAAUAACUCCGAUCUUAAAUUGAAGGAUCCGAUCAUCCAUUUUUAGGACGCCGUUCGAUUUCGACCGUUCAUUUUAUACCCGCUUGAUGGACUUUAUUAUGAUUUCGAAAAAUUACGAAAUUUAUUUUUUAGAAGUUUCGAAUACUCUAGAUCAUAUUUAAUGGAGUGGAUCGUCGAUUCGGAAAUCCCAUCANGAAUUCAUGAUUUUAUGACAUCAUCCACCUAGUGAUCAAGUGAUCUCAAAUACACUUCAUAUUAGCCGUUAAAAAUGGUCAAUUUUAAGACUAUUUGAAUAAUCUCGAAACAUCACAAAAUUUAUUACGAAGUUCAAGUCGUGUAGAUUAUAUGUAACGGUGUUAUUCGUUGAUUUGGAUGCCUCAUCAUCCAAAAUGAGAUGGAAGCAAAACUCUUUUUAACUUCCAAAAGUAUUCCACUCAACUCCAUUAGAUACUAAACAGAUUAGCCACAAUGUUCUUUAGACAAGAAGCCCCUAAACAAGUUGUUCCUGAGUAACUUCGGUUCCGCUUGAAAUCAACAACCUACCUGUCUCUAUGCUCUCAUUGCAGCAAUGCAUCAAUUUAUUUCGAACUGAUUAUGAUUUACACAACCACUAAUCAGAGCUUUCACUUAGGAAAAGAAAUUUUAAUAGCAAGGUUAGCUCCCUUAAUGCACUUAAAUAGUUUCAAGAGUAAAGACAGUGGAAACAUCCUCAUUAAUGAUGCAGCAUUGGAGAAAGAACCAUCAGCUUACAUCAAA